UACGGGAGGCAGCAGUGGGGAAUAUUGCACAAUGGGCGAAAGCCUGAUGCAGCUAUGCCGCGUGUAUGAAGAAGGCCUUAGGGUUGUAAAGUACUUUCAUCGGGGAGGAAAAACAAAACUAAUAAUUUUAUUUCUUGACGUUACCCGAAAAAGAAGCACCGGCUAACUCCGUGCCAGCAGCCGCGGUAAUACGGAGGGUGCUAGCGUUAAUCAGAAUUACUGGGCGUAAAAGAGCACGUAGGUGGUUUUUUUAAGUCAGAUGUGAAAUCCCCUGGGCUUAACCUAGGAACUGCAUUUUGAAACUGAAAUACUAGAGUAUCGUAGAGGGAGGUAGAAUUCUAGGUGUAGCGGUGAAAUGCGUAGAUAUCUGGAGGAAUACCUGUGGCGAAAGCGGCCUCCUAAACGAAUACUGACACUGAGGGUGCGAAAAGCGUGGGGAGCAAACAGGGAUUAGAUACC
This 459-nucleotide ribosomal RNA is filed under the name uncultured bacterium. RNAcentral describes it as "bacterial SSU rRNA". It matches the Rfam family "Bacterial small subunit ribosomal RNA", at positions 340 to 786 of the family's 1533-position model. The record is from RNAcentral.